RNAcentral lists this long non-coding RNA (2047 nucleotides) under Marmota monax (woodchuck). The record is from RNAcentral. Lineage: Eukaryota; Metazoa; Chordata; Mammalia; Rodentia; Sciuridae.
AUCUGGGCCAUUCCUUGCUGCUUUGAAACUGGUGAAAAUUAAGCAAUCUUAUUGGAAUCCUAAAUUAUGGACUGAAAAACAAAGCUGGGCUAAAUUCCAUUGUUUGUCAUCAUCUAAAAAGAACACUGCCUUCUGGUAGUAAGAUCUGGUUUCUAGCCCAAGUUCUAUUGUGAACUCUUUUUGAUCUUUAGUGAGACACAACCUUUGCAGCAUAAUUAUUAUUUUUUAAAAUGGGUAGUUUGGAAGAAGAAAUUUCCAUGGCCCUUUCUAGUUCUAAAAUCCCCUUAUUAAUAUAUCACAAAAAUGAAGUGUAGGAAUUAGAGCAAGUUCAGCUGUGACGAGGGGAGAGUCAAGUGCAGGUUAUAGAUAUCACCUACCACACUGCAUUGCAGUUGACAUGUCAGUAGUGUGUACAUUAGAGUGAAAAGGGUUUCCUUUCUUGGAGACUGACCAGUUGCUUGUUUUUCAAACAAUCAGAAAAAGUUAUAUAUUUUUUAGUAAUUAACAGUUUCUCCCACUUGGCUUAGCCAAAGAUACAUUUAGUUUAGAAUUCUUUUUCUGGAGACUUAAGAGCAAUGAUAAUCAAAGAUCUCUCCGAAGUCCUUGAGUAAAAUUCCUAAGAUGCCAGGCCAUUGAGAAACAUAUCUCUAAGGAUGAGGCUCUCUGCCUUCUUCAAUUCUUAGAAAAGAGUUCAGUCAUAUUCACUCCUUCCUUCCUCCUCCCCUCCUUUUCCCCCUUUCUUCCCCUCUCUCUUUUCCUUCCUUUUACAUCUAUUAUCAGUGAACUUGUUUAGCACUUACAUUAGUAAAUAAGGUGGGUGCUAGCUAGGCCUGAUACUUUACCCAACAAUCCUUCUUAUCAUGUGCAUUAUCUUCCAUUUCCUCUUUUCCAUGCAAGAACUCAUAGCCAUAGAUUAAGUACCACUUGCCCACCAGUGUCUCCCAUAACUGUAUCUCUAGACCUGACUUCAUCCCUAAUUUUCAAACUUAUAUAUCCAACUACCUGCUUAUAGACAGACACAAACACAUAGAUGUUUCUUAGACCCUUCAAAGUCAACAGGGCCAAAACUGAACUCACCAUCUUCCUUCCCCAUUAAUUGGCUUCUCUUCCCAUAUUCCAAACUCAGGAUGGCUUAACAUCACAUAAAACCACACUCCUGAGAAUCAUCCUGGUCUCCUCUUCUUCCCUCACUAUUCCCCACAGGGUCCCAGUUCCCCAUACACGCAAAAUUCUGCUUAUUUAAUUUCUCCAAAUACUCUAGUAUUCUCUUUUUCCUUUUUAUUUCUACAACAAUUAUCUAAUUUAGGCUCUCCUGUCUUUUGCCUGAACUACUAUGAUGCCUCUGGUCUUAAUGUCCCCGAGUGAUCAUCUACAAUGUGAAUUUACUACUAUAGAAUGUAAAAUAUUCCAUUGUCUAACCACCACAGGAGGCAGCCCACAUCCCUUUGCAUUGUAUAUGUCCAGGACUCUUCCUUAGCUUCAACUCCCAUUUCUCCCUGUCAUGAACCUUACAGGGUACCUCUGCUCAUUUCUUUCCUCCACCUUAUUUACCUUUUUUUUAUUUCUGUCAACCUGACGUACUUUCAUCCAGUUUCCAAUACUCAGGCUUUAUCUCCUCUAGAAAGUCCUCUAUGGACCUCCAGACUUGGCAUAUGCCCCACCUCUGUACCUUGUACAUACCUCGAUUUUUUAUCACUUUCUAUGUAUUAUGUCAUGGAUAUAUAUUGUUUGGGUCCUCCAAGGGUUUUGGUGUCCCUUAAGGGUUCACAUAUUGGGAGAUUGGUCCUCAGUGUGGCCAUGUUAAAAGUGGUGAGAACUUUCAGGUGUGGGCCCAGUGGGUUUUGUUACUGGGCCCUUCUCAUGCUCUGGUUUCCUGUCCUGUCAUUGGAGUCCUGACUAAAACUAAGCUGGCACCAUGAACUUAACCUUCAGAAUUUUGGGAUAAAUAGACCUCUUUACUUUUGGGGGUGCUGGGAAUUGAAUCUAGGGCCUCGCAUAUGCUAGGAAAGUGUUCUACCAGAUGAGCUAUAUUCCCAACUCUUAGACC